Molecule: non-coding RNA, 81 nt
Organism: Schistosoma rodhaini
Lineage: Eukaryota; Metazoa; Platyhelminthes; Trematoda; Strigeidida; Schistosomatidae
Source: Rfam
AGCUUUUUGAAUCCGUGCUGAGAUUUCGUCGUCAGACAGCAACCCAUUAGGGCUGAUGAGACUUCCAAAAUAAGUGAAGUU